RNAcentral lists this non-coding RNA (103 nucleotides) under Kosmotoga olearia TBF 19.5.1. Its description in RNAcentral is "TPP riboswitch aptamer (THI element)". It matches the Rfam family "TPP riboswitch aptamer (THI element)". Rfam says of the family: Vitamin B(1) in its active form thiamin pyrophosphate (TPP) is an essential coenzyme that is synthesised by coupling of pyrimidine and thiazole moieties in bacteria. The previously detected thiamin-regulatory element, thi box was extended, resulting in a new, highly conserved RNA secondary structure, the THI element, which is widely distributed in eubacteria and also occurs in some archaea. Analysis of operon structures identified a large number of new candidate thiamin-regulated genes, mostly transporters, in various prokaryotic organisms. Lineage: Bacteria; Thermotogati; Thermotogota; Thermotogae; Kosmotogales; Kosmotogaceae. The record is from Rfam by way of RNAcentral. RNAcentral also lists the same sequence under 1 other name.
UGGAACUGCCGGGGGAGCCUGUACAGGCUGAGAGUGCGUUCGGCGCAGACCCCUUGAACCUGAUCCGGGUAAUACCGGCGAAGGGAGGGCGUUUUCGAACCGU